Molecule: non-coding RNA, 275 nt
Organism: Xyrichtys novacula (pearly razorfish)
Lineage: Eukaryota; Metazoa; Chordata; Actinopteri; Labriformes; Labridae
Source: the annotation of a GenBank genome assembly
AAAGGCCGUAUCCGCCAAUCGUCGCUGAUCGUAACCAUUCAAGUUAACGUGUCAAUUUACACCGACUUCUUUCCGUUCCUCUGCGGAUCGCCGGACUCCACAGCUGAUCACAAGAGUUCUAUUUUUCCGGACGCCGGAGCAUGGCGGAUAAAUUCAGCACAGAUUAACCCGUGCUGGAAAGGAAGUCGGGCACAGACACAAAAUAAAACAUCCGGCUUCUUUUCAAAAUAAAACACUCCGUGUUUCAGGAGGAUCAUAUUUCACACCAUGCAAAC